GUAAAAGGCACACGCGCUUCCCGGCGCCGGCUUCCGGCCCGGCGAGGUUUGAGCGCGUCCGCGGGCUGGGAGGCCGCUGGACCCGGGCGCAUGGCCUCCCCCGGGCAGUUAUCUCCUUGCCGCGACCUUGAGGUCUUCGGUAAGAACUGGCGUUCCUCUUUCUAACGCCGGCUUUCGGCCUUCGCCCUUGACGCCCAGGCCCGGGGAGGCCGUCACUCAGAAACUGCUCCAUCCGAGUCCGCCGCCUCGGAGAUGCCGAGAGCCUGGUCCUGCCCUCUGCCCCCGGCCCCUUCCUAGACUCACUACUUCAGGUCACUAAAGGCGCCUCCCACCAGUUUGACUUCUGUUCUGCCUCUGCGCCCCGCUCUGGCCUCUCCUAAGCCGCUUCCCUGGCCAUGUCUUUAGAGUUCGCUCCCCGCCACCCCUCGGGCGCCCGCCUUCUGUGCGACCCUUCCCCCCACUUCCUGGUUGGGCUCCUGGAUCCCAGGACGUACCUGCAGCAGCAGCUUGACCCGCUCGAUGGGCGCUACCGCCGUCUUGGAGAUGGCUGCGGCCACUCCACCUGCCAGGAAGUCCUUGGCGAAGGACACAGCGGCAUCUGUCAUGUUGAAAGAGGAGGCAGACUGCUGCAGGACGGGACUGGGCCGGGAACCGGCUUUGACUCCGGCGCUGCGGGGCGGAGCGAAGCAAAUGGCCGAUUUAUAUAGGGGGAGCCGGAGCUGGAGCGGCAGGCGUCGGAGGCGGGGCCGGGGCGGGGUCUGGGCCCCGGCGCGCUGGGCGGCAGAGCCGCUGAGUGGCCCAGCUCGCAGGAGGAGGAGUCGUGGAGGGCGGGCCGGGACUGCUCUCCGCGCCGCCCGUGCUCGCCCUCGGCACCUGACCCGGCGAGAGGAAGGGGCGGGUCCAGAGAACACCCGGGACUUGAACGCUGGACCCUGAGAGAGGCCUCGGAGAGGGGAGGAAGGGUGAGGUCACGAUGUGCCUGGACAAAAACCCUUGGAGCAGGACCAGGACUAGGGUGAGACGCAUUUGCUACAGGGAUGCCAAAAGAACCCUUCAGUCAUCGAGAUAAACAGUAGUCAAUGCGAUACUUUAAAAAAGUCGUAUGGGCAAACUACAUCCUACUGGCCGGCCCCCUUGUUUUGUAAAUAAAGUUUAAUUGGAGUGUCAAGGCUGGGUUUAGGGUGAGGCAAGCGAGACAAGGUCAUGCAAGUGCAGGUUGGGAUCCUGUCUGUAUUUCAAAUGUUGAUCAUUUGUUCAUCAUGGAUUUUUGCAUUGCUUCUGAUUUUUUUAAAAUAGUACAUGAAAAAUCAUUUGUCUUAAUUACUGAGUUGUUUUUCACCAAGGUGAAUGCCUCACUCUUCCCACUCUAGACCGUGUGCUGUCCUGGAGCCAGUGAAACCAGACGAAAUUAAGGGAACAGCAGACGAAGGAACUGCCACCGUGCCCCAGACCCUGGUUUGCAAAUACAGUUCGACAAAGAUCUUGCCAGGAAUUGGCCUGGGAGAGUCCAAAGGACUGGGCUGGGGGUGGGGAAAUGAUUUUAGCCAGAAGACAAAUAUAGAGGUUGUACCCAGAAGGUUAAGAGGCUUAGGAAGGUUAAGAACUACGUUAACAUUUGGCUCCCAGGACCCCAGGUAAAGUGCCCUUGGAUUGAAUAGAUUUCUGAACUCCAGAAACAUUUAGAGGAAUCAAUAGAAUUAGAUUGGCAGCCAUUGUGCCAAUGGACAAGUGCUUACUGAGCCCCUUAAUCCCUUCACUGGGUAAGCAUUUGCCACACAUGUCCUCAAAAACCUACUUGUUAGCUUAAGUGGACUCCCUCAAGUUCAGAACAGGAGCAAAUAGUGUAAUCACAAGUUCCGUGUCUGAAUAAUCAUAACAAUGUUUAUAAAAAUAAGGACGACUGUUGAAAACUGCAACUGCAGCUGAACCUUAUGUGCCCAGACUUCAGAAUUCCCAUAGGCAAAAUGCCAGCAGGCCUUUGCACACUGAACACAUAGUGUUCAUAUCCUUCACUUUCCUUUCCUGCCCUCUCCUAUCUUCUCCAGAUCUGCCUGUGAAAGGACCCAAUUCUAGGACCCCCCAGGAUGGUUAGGCCCUUCCUCUGAAAGUACACUUUGCAAUUUGUUAGUCUCCUCAAGAACCCCAGCGAUCGAAACUGAUGCACACAAAUUGCAUGUGUUCAAAGGAGCAAUUUUGAAUCUAGCUUUGUUGAUCCUGGGAGAAAUCUUUGACCUGUGUUAGUGAAAGGCUAUGGUGUUUCUCAGCUGAUUAUAAUAGCGAGGUAGCUGAAUGCAAAAAAACAGUUUCAGAGAAUGGUAGAGUAUAUCCUCCAAAGGUGAUACUCGCUUCUCUAUUCUGGUGAGAGAAACAAGAGCUAAAGCAAAAUUCUACAGAGGGCUUUAUUUGGAGAGAGGUGGAUUUUAUUUAUAAUGCAUUUAAAAUUCAAAAUCUUUCUAGUUUGAACUCUUGACAUUCUGAUUAAUGCAUUUUUAUUCAACUGUUAAUUAUUCCUCGAUACACCUCGCCAUCACUUGUGUAUCCCUUUUCUACAUGUGACCUUUCCCUGGCCACAUCUGCUACUCUCUUUGAGCAUGAUGCCUCUACUGUAUUCUAUUCCAGAGCUCAUUGUUUUGUCAGUUUUUUUUCUCUCCACAAAAAAAGAUGAUCAAAUAAUUACAUAGAAUUUUUCCCUUCUCAGUCUUUGGGUAACUAAGUGUGGUUUUAUUGACGAUGAAAUACAAGAUGGGUCAUUUAAAAGCAACUUCUUGUCAUCACUUGGUAUUUUGCUAAAUCCACGGUGAGCUGGAGCUCCCGUAGUCACCUAUCACCGCGUGUAUUUUAAGGAGUCAGAUAUUCUCGAAACUGUUAAGAUCAUGAAAGACAAAGAGACUAAGGAACUGUCACAGAUUAAAGGAGACUAAAGAUACUUGACAACUGAAUGUAAUAUAUGACACUCAACCGGCUCCUGUACCAGAAAAAGGACAUUGGUUAUAUUGGUGAGGUUUGAAUAUCUGUAGAUUACCAAUACUAUUCUUGGUUAUGGUGGUUAUGUAAGAUUUAGAGAAGUUGAAUAAAGGAUAUAAGGACAAAAAAAAAAAAAAAAAAAAAAAAAAAA
Molecule: long non-coding RNA, 3115 nt
Filed under: Homo sapiens (human)
Lineage: Eukaryota; Metazoa; Chordata; Mammalia; Primates; Hominidae
Description: SLC25A5 antisense RNA 1 (SLC25A5-AS1)
Source: RNAcentral